GAUCAUGGCUCAGGAUGAACGCUAGCUACAGGCUUAACACAUGCAAGUCGAGGGGCAGCAUGGUCUUAGCUUGCUAAGACUGAUGGCGACCGGCGCACGGGUGAGUAACGCGUAUCCAACCUGCCCAUCACUUGGGAAUAACCUUGCGAAAGUAAGACUAAUGCCCAAUGAUAUCCCACGAAGGCAUCCGAAUGGGAUUAAAGAUUUAUCAGUGAUGGAUGGGGA
This 225-nucleotide ribosomal RNA is filed under the name uncultured bacterium. RNAcentral describes it as "partial 16S ribosomal RNA". It matches the Rfam family "Bacterial small subunit ribosomal RNA", at positions 15 to 231 of the family's 1533-position model. The record is from RNAcentral.